Molecule: ribosomal RNA, 511 nt
Filed under: uncultured bacterium
Lineage: Bacteria
Description: bacterial SSU rRNA
Rfam family: Bacterial small subunit ribosomal RNA
Source: RNAcentral
ACGCUGGCGGCGUGCCUAAUACAUGCAAGUCGAACGGUCUUUCUAUGGAAGCUUGCUUCCACUGAGAAGAUAGUGGCGAACGGGUGAGUAACACGUGGGUAACCUGCCCAUAAGAGGGGGAUAACAUCCGGAAACGGGUGCUAAUACCGCAUAGUUUCUUGAUCGCAUGAUCGGGAAAGGAAAGACGGCCUUUGUGCUGUCGCUUAUGGAUGGACCCGCGGCGUAUUAGUUAGUUGGUGAGGUAAUGGCUCACCAAGACGAUGAUACGUAGCCGACCUGAGAGGGUGAUCGGCCACAUUGGGACUGAGACACGGCCCAAACUCCUACGGGAGGCAGCAGUAGGGAAUCUUCCGCAAUGGACGAAAGUCUGACGGAGCAACGCCGCGUGAGUGAAAGAAGGUUUUCGGAUCGUAAAACUCUGUUGUCAGAGAAGAACAAGUUGGAGAGUAACUGCUCCAGCCUUGACGGUAUCUGACCAGAAAGCCACGGCUAACUACGUGCCAGCCGCCGC